UUAAAGGUGUGUGCCACCACUUUAUCCUACCUGGGAUAAUCUUUGUAGCUUGGUACAAAUGGCAUCAGAGUUUCCAACAAUUGGAAAAAUGGCAGGCAUCCUGUGCCGGUCAUUGUCUCUGUCAGCACUGGGAAGAUGAAGCCGUUACAGAAGCAUAUCUUGUUUCAUGGACAGUUAAGACAUUACAUUCUGCAACCCCUUAGUCUACUGAUGAACUUUCUCUUUUGCUGCUGAAUGUCGUGUGGGGCUUUAUCUUUCCUUGUCAGCCUGGAUGUCUCUGGUAAUGAGGACUUGAAUCAUGAAGCAGCCAGCAUUGCAGAGCUUCCAGCUUUUUCUAUCAUGGUUCAGGUAUACGUGAAUCUGCUCAGCAACUGUACUCAUCUUCUAGAGGGUCCAGCCUGUGUAGACAAGCAGGCAACCGUGUAAGACCAGGGCACAAGGCAGCCACAGCAAUGCCAGGAAGAUGUAGCGGGAACCUGGGAGCCUUAGCCAGGAGCCCUACUCCGCCUCCAGUUGAGGUAACUGGCUAGAUUCCUUGAAGUGUGCAUACAGAUCUUAUUGGCCAGUGUAGAUGAGCACACACUAAAUAGCACUGGCUCACACUUCUUAGGGCACCUCCCAAGUUUUCCCACAGUAUCCCAGUCUGAGGCCACAUACCUGUGACUCAGCAGAUAAAAUGUGGGCCGACAAGCUGCUUCCUUGAAGAGGCGGCUCCUCUCUUUAAGGCCCCUGGGACUUAUGUAUGCAUAGCUUGAAAAUGAGUUUAGCCAAGAAUCCUGUUGGCAGAUACGGGGAGUGCACACUGCUAAGCAGCAGCUUGGGAUUCUAACGGACACCAGCGCCUGACAGUCAGGGCAUACCUAGUCCUUUUGGAGGAGAGGCACGGCGAUCUUCUCUGGGUCUGUGGGACAUUGGAAUGUGCACUAUGGAUGAUGGCUACUCCCAUCCAUUUAUGAGACUGAAAAUCUGAGGACAGCCAGGGAUGGCUGUACAAUCCGGAAUCCCAGCAUUUAGGGGAGAAAGGCAGGGGGACCAGGAGUUGCAGACCACCUUCAGCUACAUAGGAAGUUCAAGUCCAGCCUGUGCUACAUUGAGCCUGACUCAGUAAACAACAUUUUC
This 1119-nucleotide long non-coding RNA is filed under the name Mus musculus (house mouse). Its description in RNAcentral is "long non-coding RNA chr1:89804529-89805648". Lineage: Eukaryota; Metazoa; Chordata; Mammalia; Rodentia; Muridae. The record is from RNAcentral.